RNAcentral lists this long non-coding RNA (6703 nucleotides) under Cricetulus griseus (Chinese hamster). RNAcentral describes it as "lncRNA (ENSCGRG00015043081.1)". The record is from RNAcentral. Lineage: Eukaryota; Metazoa; Chordata; Mammalia; Rodentia; Cricetidae.
GUCCUGAAGAAAACAAAUAUCCCUAGGUCCCAAGAACAACACAUUUCCAGGUGUUUAACACUUUUAUUAAGAAAGCCGAAAACAAAAAUGCAGAUGCCUGGAAAGACAAAACUGCCUUUGUGUAUUAGCAGAGGCAGAGCUGUUGCUGUAACAGCUGGAGCUUAGAGGAUCACCUAGGUCCAAGUCUUCGCAGGUAGCAGGUCUCCUGAGAUUCAGGCGGUUUUUGUACAUUAGCCCAAAAGCCCUUUGAAGUCAUGGCCAGCAGCUUAGGCACCCUGGCCUGUCAGAAGCAGGAUCAUGAUCAGGGCAGUCUCCACCAUAACAGAUCUCAGGUUCCAGUUCUUUCUCCAACAUGCUGAGCAGGCCCCGCCAGGGUUCAUUUCUCUGUCUUUCUCCUGGUCCACCUCUCCUGGGGACAUCUGGAGCUCCUUCUGUUUCUCACGUUGGAAAACCUCUGCACCCCACUUCCUGGCAUAGUUCAUUCUAGGAUGAUGUCUCAAGCAAUCCCAGCUACUAAGUCCACAGGGAAGGGGAAACAGUUCCCAAUCAACAGAACAGCCAUUCUCAAAGCAGUGGCUUGGCUCUGCCCAGAAACACGGUGGCCAAGAUUUGGGAAUACCAUGGACUCAGGGUUGACAGGAAGUGUGGACUUCCUGGUGUGUGCUGUGAAGAAUCUGACAUGUCUUCCACAAAAACAGGGGCAGACCAGUUCUGUUGUCUUGGCUUCACCAAUGUAACACAGACAGCAACUCCUGGAACCUCUGAUUGAGAAGUCAAUUAACUUUUUAUCCUCUAACUUCUAGGCCCCUCCCAACCGGUACUCUUCAGGAUGCUAGAAUGUAACUUCAUAACCCCAUCAGUUGUUUGCAUUAAAUAGGAGGUAAACUCUGAAGAUCCUGGUGCUGUAUGCCUUUAAUCCCACUGGGGAAUUAGCCAGGGGGCAGAUGGAUCUCUGAGUUCCAGACCAGCCUGAUCUACAGAGCUAGUUCCAGGACAGCAACAGAGAAAGACAGGGAAAUCCUAUCUUAAAAAACAAUCAAAAUAUGAAAACAAAACAAAAUAUAGUAAAGAUUGUGAUGGUAAAAUCUUAUCAUCCCUGAUAAGAUUAUCUAGAGUUAAACAUUAUACAGGACUAAUGGAGAAAGCACUAAAGUAUGGGGAGGUCUACUUGGGAUGCCUGAUUUAGAGAAUGUGUGUUUUAUCUUGGAAGUCAUUUUUCAUUUGUUCUUUCAAGUCAAUGUGCUCUAGAGGAAUAGAAUUUAUAAAGUCAUCUUACUUACAGGCUGUGAUCCAGCUUAUUUAACAAUGGCUGACUAUGAUCUGAAAGUCCGAGAAGCCAGAAGUUGCUCAGUCUAUUAAAAUGGAUAUCUCAGCAGGUCUUCAGUAAUCCCUGGAAUCCUUAGGAAGUAAGCUCUGAUGCUAGUGAAGUAAUAUACUUGCUAGCAAGGUGAGAGUUCUCAGGCUAAGUGAAAAAACUUCCUUCUUCAUGUUCUUUUAUACACUUCCAGCAGAAUGUGUUGCCCAGGUUUAAAUGUAUGUCUUCCUGCUGGAGAUCUGCAUUACAGGCAUGUCUGGAUUAAAAGUUGUGUUGUCCCAGCUCAAAAGAUCUGCUUUGAUGUUGUCUUCAUACCUCAAACAUCUGGAUUGUAAACGGAUCUUCCUACUGUAGGCAAAACUACCUCUCAGCCUGAGGAUUUUGUGGAACACAUGAGCUGUAGAGGAAAAAAUAAAGAGCAGAAUAUAGAAGAAAAAUAAAGAAAAAGAAGAAAAGCAUCAAGAGUGUGUAGAACCCCACCCUCAAGCCAACACCCAAUCCCACCCCAUUCAUAGUCUUCACAAGUCCAAGACAACCUCAGUAUUUGGCUAUGGAACAUUCUGGAGUUGACUAGAACAGCCUAGAGCACCUAGCAGCAGGACACCACUACUGUCCUCAGCUAGACCCUCGGUUUCUCCAGGUUUUAACCAGGACCUUUGGCCCACAGUUUCUUUCCUGGUGCCAGCAGCUGUAUUUUCCUUUGAGACUGAGGCUUUCUGAAUCUCAGCCUGAGAAGGAUGCCACCCAUUCCACUUCUCUCAGACAGAUAAACCUGCCCACUUUCUUGGGCACCUCAGAGUGAGGCUGAGCUGGACUCUGGUAUUUCCCUCUAGUUUGGUGUUGGCACAAACACUCAGUCAAACUCAGCUGCUAAAGACGCGCCUACACAUUCAAGUUCGUGCCCUGUACAGAUCACCAAACGAGUGCCUAGGUCGGCUUCACGUCUAAACACCUGGCUUGCAACUGGUCCUUUUACUGAACGACACACAAGGACCUCCUCCGUGUGGAAUACAACUCCAGGAGACAACCACGACAAUGUACCCUGACGAUCUCUUAGGCCCAAACUCAAGGUUUGAACCAGCCUUGAAGUCGUCUGCAGGUGUGCAAUUACUAAACCCUCCCUCCUUUCCCUACUGGUCGGUGGGCAGAGCAGGAGCCAAUGAGGAAGUCCAUUGGUUAAGUCAAAACACCUUGGUCUCAGGUGCCCUUCUCGGCUUGGGAGCUGUAAGAUGGAGGCUUCUUCAUCACAGGGAUGGCCAGCAUUCAUCCCAUUUUAGCCGUCCUAUGCUGCAGUUUUCCGGAUCUGUAAUCCGUGAUCCCCAAGUUCCGUGAGUCGUCCGUGGAGCCGACUUCUGAUCUGCUGUCAGUAGGCGGUGGGCUGCAAUCCGUCCGCAAUUUCCAUCCGUUUCCGUGAUUUUCUGCUUCGGUCCUUUCGUUUUGCGGCCAUAAUAGGCUCUGCCAGGACGAUGUGAGCAAAUGCUGCAAGAAAAGGCUGACCCCUCGGUGCCAGUGUGCACAAGACCGGUCCGGAAUGCGCGGUUUCAGUUUGUUUCGCGUCCGCUAUGCUCAGCUCGCCCUCGUUUCUAAACGCUGAAAGUUCUUUCGAUUUCUUUCGUUUGUGGAGAUCGCUCUGACUGCGGUCGCACGUUUUCAGUCAGGCAAGUGUAUGUAGCUAUGGCCUCCCGUGCAUUUGCCAAUGCCUGCCUGACAGCAGCUCACUGGCCCCUCCGGGGAUAGUACAGCCCCGCAUUCCUGGGAAAGUUUAUGGUUAAUCGGCCUAUCUGCUUGUUCAAGCUCGUGGAUGAGCACAGAAGGAGACGGGGCCAAAGAAGAGGUCCUAGCUAGAAGCCUAAAUCCUUCUAGAAGCAGAUCUACAGCAGAGCUGCAGGCCGGCCUCUUCUUCGGGCCUCUUCUUCACUUCAGGGGACGCUGCCCAGCCCUUCACCUCCAAGCGAUUUGUAGCCGGCACUUUUGGUUUUCCCCGCCCGCUUUCGGCAAACCUCCGCAAUUCGUUCUCCUAGCGAGCCAAGAUAUGUUCAUAUCUCAGCAGCCCUGGACUGAAAUUCAACGGUGAUUUCAAACCGCAAACAGGAUUUUGUUCCAUGGUGGUUUUAUUUACCCCCUGAAUCAGGCUCUGCCAGGCAUAUUCGAAAACUCCUCCGAUUUCUUUCAUUUACCGAUUUUGUUCAGAGUUCCGUCCGGCAAACGAACUUUUUAAGCCAAACAAGUUAACCAAUUCAUCAGACCCGGCCCCUCCACCACCAGGAAGACUACAAAUAAAAGACUGAUGGAUACCACUAGAAGGGCAAUACUAAUACAGCUUUUCCCGGAUUGUUAACAGAGAGCCCAAAUGGAUUUCAGUUCCUGGAACUCAGAGAUCUGCCUUUAAAGUUUGUCCCACCAACUGACUAAGGAUGCAUAGAUCUUGAUAAAGAUCUCAUUCCAAGGUUUGCUUCUGCAAGAUGAUCUGAAAAAGUCAGUCCCUAUCAUCAAGAGAGAAACUGAUCCUCAAGAGAGAGAGAUGUUUGUUCCUGCUCCAAGACACAAAUAAGAAGUUGGCCCUUUUGACAUGAAGAAUUUGAAGACAACUGUCCUAAUGGGAUUUAAUCCUUUCUUUUUAUUGUUUCCUUUGGAUUUUUGAGGCAGAGUCUCUAUAUAGCCCUGUCUGUCUCACUCUCACUACUUAGCCAAGGCUUGUCUAGAACUCUGAGAGAUCCACAUGGUUAAAGGGUGAGCCACCACACCUGGCUUUAUUUAUGCAUUUAGUAUAUUUGUAUGGGAAAGCAAGUGCCAUAGCCAGAGUGUAGAAGUCAGAGGGUGAUUUCCAAACCUAGGUCUUCAGAAUUGGCUGCAGGUACCUUUACUGAAUAAAACUCCUUGCUAUCUCUGCUUUCACAAAUGCACUAAUUCAGAGUUAUUGCUGAAAAAAAAUCCCCAAAGUCAAAAUCAUAGUUAUAAAACUAGAAUAGUGGCCUUUGUCUAAAUUAGUGGCAUUUUUAUUGAUAUGCAUUCAUUAACUUGUUUUAUUCAACUUAAAAAACAUGCUUAAGCCCACAAUAAUCUUUGAAUUCUGUCUUCUUCUAUUAUACCAUUAAAAUGCAGGCUGUUAUGUUUGUUUGUUUGUUUGUUUGUUUGUUUGUUUGUUUAGAAUAGGGUCUCAUUAAGUAGAGCAGUGGCUGGCCAGAUACCCGCAGAUCUGUAUAAAUAUUGCUUUUUGUACCAACUGCCCACUCUUUGUUCCAGUAGCUGCUCCCCAAUUUCCUCUCAGAGGCUUAAAUUAAUUAUAAAUGCUUGCCUAUAUAGCUGGGUCCUAACAGUUCCCUCAGGGGACAGGGUGAGAAGGUGUGGUGUCAAUGAACACCAGAGUCAGAUGAAAAGAAACAGCAGACUCAUUAUUUAGCAUGGGGGGGAUGGAUUUUAUAUUCCCUCCCAGCACCCCAGCAUUCCUAUCUGCUGGCAUUGCAUGGUUGACCCUCAUUGGCUAGGCAUAAUCAGGACCUCUGACGGUGACUGUUGCUAGACCCUCAGACAGCACCAGGUAGACUCCAAGUUGGCUCAUCUCUCUCUGCCUUGGCCUUGUAGGCCUUAAUGUCCUACAGGCCAAUAGCUCAGGCUUAUUACUAACUAGCUCUUACAUUUUAAGUUAACCCAUAUUCCUUAUUUACAUGGAAUUACCUUUAUUAGCAUGGCAUGUUCAACUCCUGAUCCCUCUGCAUCUGGCUGGUGACUCAUGACUUCCCCCAUUUUCCUUCCUAUCAUCCUUAGUUUGGCUGCCUGGCUAUUGGACAAUCAGUGUUCUAUUAAACCAAUUUGGGUGCCAAAUCUUUACAGUGUACAAGAGGAUUAUUCCACAGCAAAUAUGCAUACCUCUGCCUCCCAAGUGCUGAAAUUAAAGGCUUGGGGGCUGGAGAGAUGGCUCAGAGGUUAGGAGCAUUGGCUGCUGACUGCUCUUCCAGAGGUCCUGAGUUCAAUUCCCAGCAACCAUGAAAAUUAAAAAAAAAGUAAAGCCUUAUGCCACCAAGCCUGUCUAAAGACUCCUUGUCCUGUCUUAUUUAUUUUAAAAACUUUUCAUACAUGCAAAUAACAUGUUUUAAUUAGAUCCACCCCAUGCCCCAGCUGCCCACUUCUCUCUAUCAACCCCAAUACAUCCACCAUUUUUCUCUCUGAGCUUUUUCUUGAAAUGCCGGCUUGCUAUGCUGCAUGGGCUGCUGGAGAUCUCUCCACCCACCUCCACCCUUCUCCAAAGUAAUUGGAAUUAAAGGGAUGUGAUGCCAAGUGCAGUCAAAGCAUGCUUUUAGCAUGUCACACACUCAAUGCACUAUAAUAAUUCCACAGGGUCUGAUCUUGUUGUGUUCCAUAUUAUCGGCAUAAUCAAAGAAACAGAGUCACCCUAAGAGGUACUUCAGACUCUGCAGUAGCAGGAAGGGACGGUUUUGAGGAACUGAACUUUCAACAGCCUUUCAGAAGCCUAUUUGUUGAUUGCUACACAAAGGUUGGUUUCUUUGGGUAAAACAAGUUCCUCAUAACAAUGCCCCUAAUCUAAACUAUAUGUUUUCUGAAGGAAAAUACCUUUCCCCCUACAAAGUUAGCCGGUAUUGUGUACUAUUUGCAGAACCCAAUCAUGCAAGCUGUUCCUGGUAUGGUAGGAUUGUCUUGUGACUAAAGUCAUGCAAAGGCUGCAAAACUUCAGAAAAACAACUCUAUAAAUCACAGAAAACAAUCACUGUUUUCCCACAAUGAUUCCAACAUCUAAGAGUUUAAGGAAAACAAUACUUCAUUCUAUGCUUACCCUACAUACAGUAAAAGAAAAAAAGAACUAUUUCAUUUAAUAUUUACCCUACAUGAAAUGAUUCUACUAGAUUUCUACUACAUGAUCGAUUUAUGAAACUUGAUUCUUCUUUCCAAAGUCUUGCUAUGGUAAACUAUAAUGAUGCCAACAUUCUUUAAUAUUUCACAGUGCUCACCUGCAGGAGUUAUUGUUGAACACAUAUAUUAAAUGUAAUAACUAGUGGUUGAGACUGUAAAUUGAACUGUCUGUCAUAAUAUAAUUCCCCAAAGUAGACACCAUCAUCUUGAAAUCAUGACAUAUUUGCAUUAAUCAGAACAGUAGUGAUUUUUCUGGUAUGACUAUAUUUUCAAAUGUAUUCAACAAGCUGCUCUAGGUCAUUAUGCCAUGGUCUACAUCUGUUGAUGCCAACUGCCAUAUUGUCGGAUUAUUUGAUAGCCUUUAAAAAAAUCAGUUACAUCUAUUUCAAAAUUCUAUGUAAAUUUAUGAACACAAUUAAAUGGUUCGCUCGGAACCUUCGUUCUUUCCUAUAGAAUAUGGGUUAUUCACUCUAUAAUCCUCUAGGCAAGUACGUGUCUUACGCCCCUCCCACUCCCCCCAAA